Molecule: long non-coding RNA, 1012 nt
Organism: Corvus hawaiiensis (hawaiian crow)
Lineage: Eukaryota; Metazoa; Chordata; Aves; Passeriformes; Corvidae
Exons: 5
Source: RefSeq, a predicted model, not a curated record
GGAGAUGUUUCCUAUGAAGACUGAAAUGUAUCUUCAGCACCAUUUACAUUCCUGCACGGAUCAUAGCUUCUUUAAUAAAAGAAGGUGCCCUCUCACUGGAGCACAGGAGCCACUGGGCCACAGCCCCUCCCUUGGCAGCACAGAGAGCACCCGGAUCCUGCCUGAAAGUUUGGGAGGACUUUCCUCCCAGGAAAGGUCCCUUCAUCUCCUCUGCUACAGAAACAAGCAACAAAUGGCAGAAAAGACCUCAGGCAGAUGCUGGUGACCUGGAUCUCAGAGAAAGCCUACGUGCUGGUACACAAACACACUGAAAAUGUCCUCUCACCCGGAGUGAAUUUAAGCACAGAAGAAAACAGGAUGUAAACAGGCCUAACUCUCAGCUGAUUUACAGAGGAGCAAUUUCACUGCAGACCAAAAAGCCAAAAUGAAGUCAACACCAGUCCUUAACAAUUCACAUCACUGAGCUGUCAAGCAGGAUCAGUGUCUGCUUCUUCACCUUUGAAUGUCCAGAAAAUGCAGCAAACUCUCUAGACCCGAUUUUCCCCACAAAUUUGAAUGAAAUAAACCAGGAAUAUCGCCAUCACAAUUGCCAUCAUUGUGUGUAAGGCGGUGAACUGCAAUGAAUCUGGGACAGAGACCCUCUGCUGAAUCAGGACUCCUCAUUUUGCAGGAACAAACACUUUUGGAGCUGCCAUUAAGCAAGGUACCAUAACUUCAUUUAAAGGUACACAAUUUCUUUUGUUCCAGAUAACAUAGAAAGCCAUGAAACAUUAACAUGCCCAACCAUUUCCAGCAUCAAAUCCAGGAUUUGAGAGUGAAACAUUAAAACAUGCCUGACAGUUAAAAGAUUGCAAAUGAGCACAGUGGAAGCUGGCAAUCCUGUUUUCAUUUUCUCAUUGCACUGUCCAGACUUUGUGACAGCAGCCCAAGCAAAUACCUGCCACAGUGAGACCUGCUGUGACCCUGAGACAAUGGGAGUGAGCUCCAUUAUUAAAAACCACUGUGAGCAAUG